UGGGGAAUUUUCCGCAAUGGGCGCAAGCCUGACGGAGCAAUACCGCGUGAGGGAGGAAGGCUUUUGGGUUGUAAACCUCUUUUCUCAAGGAAGAAGCAAGUGACGGUACUUGAGGAAUCAGCAUCGGCUAACUCCGUGCCAGCAGCCGCGGUAAUACGGAGGAUGCAAGCGUUAUCCGGAAUUAUUGGGCGUAAAGCGUCCGCAGGUGGUUUAUCAAGUCAGUUGUUAAAGACUGCAGCACAACUGUGGGCGUGCAACUGAAACUGAUUAACUAGAGUGCGGUAGGGGUAGAGGGAAUUCCCAGUGUAGCGGUGAAAUGCGUAGAUAUUGGGAAGAACACCAGUGGCGAAGGCGCUCUACUGGGCCGCAACUGACGCUGAGGGACGAAAGCUAGGGGAGCGAAAGGGAUUAGAUACCCGCGUAGUCC
This 427-nucleotide ribosomal RNA is filed under the name uncultured prokaryote. Its description in RNAcentral is "bacterial SSU rRNA". It matches the Rfam family "Bacterial small subunit ribosomal RNA", at positions 355 to 796 of the family's 1533-position model. The record is from RNAcentral.